ACUCCUCUCCCGCUGCAGGACUGGAAGAGCAAACACAAACGGGUGUGCGCCGAGGUAAACAAACUCGGUGGCGCCGCCCUCUCCUCCCGGAGCGAGGAAGGAGGUGCUGAGACGACUCAGGGCUGGGGGCUAGGACUGCUGCAGGAUGCGCAAGGGAAGGAUUAAAUUGGAUCGCCUGAGGCUUCAAGUUUGCAGACUGCGCAGUGCAUGGGAAUCAACAGCAUAAAAUACGUUUAGUAGGAGAAAACAUUUUAAAGCCAUGGGGUGUGUUUAGGAAAGAAGGGAAGGAGGGAGCACCGUGGACGUACAGCAUUAGGAAUGUUUUUUACAGAGAUUUAGAAAGACGAAGAAUAAAAAUACAAGUCCUGGCAUCUGAAUCAUUAACAACCUCAACAACCCAUUUGUCGUUCUGGGAUGCUAAAAUGUAGUAUGUGUCAAAUUCCAAAUAAAUCAAACUUUUUAACUAGUUAAAAAGAGGAGGGUAAGGGGAGGAAUAACUUGGGUGCCUCUUCAAAACGCAGAUUCUCGGACUUUACCUGUAUUUACAGAAUGAAAAUCUGCGGUAAUAUAAAACCAGGGACUCUACAUUUUAGUGGAUUUAACAAGAGUCAAAACCCCACCGACCACCUUUGAAAAGCAUCACAUUAGGAACUGCCCCGUCAGGCUACGCCAGCCUGGCCUCCGUAACCAUCGUAAAUUAAGGACGAAACCAAGAGACAGAGUAAUGUCUGGACCUUCCACCACCUGUAUGACUUCUUAAAAGUAACAAAUCAGAAACAACAGCUCUAAGUGUUGAGAACGACCUCUCAGGCAACUGGUUUCCUUCCUAGCUCAAAACAGCAAAAUGCCUAUCAGUUGGAAUGCCUGCGAAAUUUACUCAGGAAAAAACCCGCCAUAGACCCUGUAGGGUUCGCCAACGUUUCAUCGCUCCAAUCCGAGUGUUCUUAUUCAGACAUACACGAUACCAAAACUGAAAAGUCGCUCACAAGUGUGACCGAUGCUUGGAUUUUUCUUAAAAGGGCUUCUUUUCAUAAUCCCUUUAGUUUACUUUAGAGCCAAAGACUAAGCAGCCUUUUGAAAGUUUUUCUUUGUCUGAGCCCCGUGAAUUUCCUUUCUGCCCAACCCCCCAACAAGAACUCAUUUCUUUAUUCGUGUUAACAGUCUUUUUUUUUUUUUUUGGAACGGUGGGGGAAGAGAACCUGAGGCCCCUCGUUUUCGGAGUUUUAUUUUUAUGCAAGCUGCUACCCUUAAUAGUUUAGCAUUAUUCAGACAGUCCUUGAGAGGACUGUCCCAGCAUUAAACAUUCACAAUCUGCAGACAAAGAGAAAGAGCAGCCUUGUGUAGAGUUAGGAACAAGAGUUUUCUCACCUACUUUUGAGAACCUGGUCUGAUAGCUCCCAGGUAAAAUUUGCAUAUAGUUCUAAAGGUAUAUGUUCAUGCAUAGUUUUUUAUCAUUCUCUUUAAAGAUGAAAGUUUCUUUGUGAACAAAAUUGCCAUUGUUGUAGACAAUAUCCAAGUUCGUGUGGUGGCUAAGUCUAUAAAUUUAAAGAGAGCAGCCUGGAGCUAAAAGUUAUGUUAGCAGAUUCAGUUCAUGCUAAGACAAAGAAAGGCUGGAGCACACAAUUACAGAUAAAAUCCUUAGUUACAUAGAACCUUCACCUACAUCAUUGCAUUUAAUGUGGUAAAUGAAGCUGCUGUUCUGUUUUGCAUUUAAUUUUUGUCAAUUAAUGAGUCUUAGCUGAGCUCUCCAUAACCUGGUUCCCAGGGUCAAUAAUUAAACUUGGUUUAUUCUUC
Leopardus geoffroyi (Geoffroy's cat) is the source of this 1794-nucleotide long non-coding RNA. RefSeq lists it as uncharacterized. The record is from RefSeq and is a predicted model, not a curated record. NCBI's taxonomy places the organism in Eukaryota, Metazoa, Chordata, Mammalia, Carnivora, Felidae. The transcript is spliced from 3 exons.